UCGUACAUAUGAGAAUAAUAUCUCCUAACCUCCUAACAGAAUAAUCAUGAAUUAAUGAUUCACUUCCCCACACUCCUCUCCAUCAAAUACCCCUCUAUCUGAAUCACAUGGGUCCGUAUGCCACCUCACUAACCAACUUCGACUUUUUUAUUGAUAUCUCAUGCAAAAAAAUAUUAAAUACUAAACUACCACCAAUUCCAAAUUAAAUAUCAAACUACCAUUCUUUUUCUACUUUUUAAAAUUAUUCUUAGAAGUCGGUCUUGCCUCCAACAAUUUCUCAACUGAAUUUUUUUUUAAGGAAGGAAGAGAAAUCGGAUUCAUGUACACUGAUUUCUCACAUUAAUUUUUUUUUAAUUAUUAAAUUU
RNAcentral lists this long non-coding RNA (365 nucleotides) under Cicer arietinum (chickpea). Its description in RNAcentral is "long non-coding RNA (CARI_LNC002857)". The record is from RNAcentral. Lineage: Eukaryota; Viridiplantae; Streptophyta; Magnoliopsida; Fabales; Fabaceae.